GGAAGUAAAAGUCGUAACAAGGUUUCCGUAGGUAAGUAAACAUCGUCUAACCUCUGCUUAUACCAAUUUCACGGCAUACUAACAUUUUUCACAGGUGAACCUGCGGAAGGAUCAUUAUCGAGUUAGGGUCCCCAGGGCCCGAAUCUCCCAACCCUUUGUUUAUCCAACCUCUGUUGCUUCGGCGGGCCCGUCCUUGAUGGACCGCCGGAGGACCACCGCUUGCGGUGUCCUCUGGCCCGUGCCCGUCGAUAGCCCCCGUCUAAACUCUUGCUUAAAACGUGUUUGUCUGCCUAAAUUCAUAACUAAAAUAAAACGCAAAACUUUCAACAACGGAUCUCUUGGUUCUGGCAUCGAUGAAGAACGCAGCGAAAUGCGAUAAGUAAUGCGAAUUGCAGAAUUCCAGUGAGUCAUCGAAUCUUUGAACGCACAUUGCGCCCUUUGGCAUUCCGAAGGGCAUGCCUGUUCGAGCGUCAUUAUCAGCCCUCAAGCCCCGUGCUUGGUGUUGGACGACUUGGUCGAGUUUGCUCCCGACCCGUCCCAAAGACAAUGACGGCGGUUGAUGGUCCCCCCGGCACACUGAGCUUUUAUAAGCACGUGUUGGAUAAGGGUGUCUCAGCCCCGGUCUCCUCCUUCAUUGGAAAUUUUCAAGGUUGACCUCGGAUCAGGUAGGAAUACGCGCUGAACUUAAGCAUAUCAAUAAGCGGAGGA
RNAcentral lists this ribosomal RNA (708 nucleotides) under Cladophialophora sp. K9703-7-4. Its description in RNAcentral is "eukaryotic LSU rRNA". The stretch from base 319 to 473 matches the Rfam family "5.8S ribosomal RNA". The record is from RNAcentral. Lineage: Eukaryota; Fungi; Ascomycota; Eurotiomycetes; Chaetothyriales; Herpotrichiellaceae.